GACGAACGCUGGCGGCGUGCUUAACACAUGCAAGUCGAGCGGGGAGAUAUCUUUCGGGAUAUCUUCUAGCGGCGGACGGGUGAGUAACGCGUGAGCAACCUCUCCUCUACUGGGGAAUAACACAGGGAAACUUGUACUAAUACCGCAUAAGACCACAGGGUCGCAUGGCUCAGGGGGUCAAAAGAUUUAUCGGUAGAGGGUGGGCUCGCGUCUGAUUAGGUAGUUGGUGGGGUAACGGCCUACCAAGGCGACGAUCAGUAGCCGACCUGAGAGGGUGAUCGGCCACAUUGGAACUGAGACACGGUCCAAAACUCCUACGGGAGGCAGCAUGGGGAAUAUUGGGGCAAUGGGGGGAAACCCCUGACCCAGCAACGCCGCGUGAAGGAAGAA
Molecule: ribosomal RNA, 390 nt
Filed under: uncultured bacterium
Lineage: Bacteria
Description: bacterial SSU rRNA
Rfam family: Bacterial small subunit ribosomal RNA
Source: RNAcentral